This 618-nucleotide long non-coding RNA is filed under the name Elaeis guineensis (African oil palm). RNAcentral describes it as "long non-coding RNA (EGUI_LNC048025)". The record is from RNAcentral. Lineage: Eukaryota; Viridiplantae; Streptophyta; Magnoliopsida; Arecales; Arecaceae.
UCUUUCUAUUUUUCUCUCCCUUUUUCUUUUUUUUAAAUUUUUUUUACUUUUUUCUCUCAUUCUCAUGCCCAUCCAUAACCAAAAAUAGCACGUAGAAACCAGGUGUAGCACCCCCUAUUUAUCGGAAAUAAGGGGUGACACCAUGGGAUGCCAACUCUUGGCAUCCUUUCAUUCUUACACGUCUCCAAUAAUUUUUUUUCAUUGAAUCCAAUGAGAUGGCAUAGAAACUAAAGAGGUUAAACUCUUCCUCUACCUGGAAAAAAUUAUAACGCCAACUCUUGGUGCGUGGAAAAGGAUUUAGCAUGAGAUUCCAAGAGUCCUUAACAAUUAAGACUCUUCCAUAAACUCAAUGCAUAUAUGAAAGGUAAUCUAAUUUAAUUGACAUUCAAACUCCUUGCCAGAGAAAGACUCCUUUUCCACACCAGUAUAUUCCAAUGGUCAUCAGAUGGCACAUGGGAUAAAAAGAAAUGUGUGGAAUAAGAAGAAUUACCAAUGAGAAAUGGAUUCUCCAUUUUCAUCGCCCAAAAAUAAGGGACAUCCAAAAUAAUUUGGCAUAGAGUUCCUUCCAAGAGAAGGACUCCUCCUCUUCCAUGCCCACACAUCCCAUAGCACCAUCAG